AAAGUCGUUAAGAGGACGUGAAACCGGUGAGGUGGAAACGGAUAGAGUCGGCGUAUCAUUCAAUUAUUCAGUUACAUUAUUUUUAUGUUGUGACCUCUGAGCUCCAGAUUGGGACAGAGGGAAUCAGCAUAAUUUUUUGUGGUGCAUUUACUUGAUUGGUGCUUGGGGAUGUUUGAGGCAGAUUUGUUUCCGUCGUUUUGAGGCCAGCUUGCUGGUACCCAAACGGUGUUAGCAUUUUUUGUCUUGGGCAUUUGAGUAUGGCUCACGUGUAUUUAUUGGACAGAUCUGAGUGUAAGUUACGGUCGCAUGCGACACGUGCUUUUCAAUUAGUUCGGUCCAGUUAAUGCUCUCGUACUCGUUCCCCAUGUAAAAGCCGGUCAUCUAUCCGACCCGUCUUGAAACACGGACCAAGGAGUUUAUCGUGUGCGCAAGUUUUUGGGUGUUAAAAACUUAAAAGCGAAAUGAAAGUAAAUGACUCUUUAGAGUCUGAUGUGCGAUCUUGUAAAAAAGUGUAGCAUGGCCCCAUUCUAACUGUUUACAGUAGGGUGGCGGAAGAGCGUACGCGGUGAGACCCGAAAGAUGGUGAACUAUUCCUGAGCAGGACGAAGCCAGAGGAAACUCUGGUGGAAGUCCGAAGCGGUUCUGACGUGCAAAUCGAUCGUCUGACUUGGGUAUAGGGGCGAAAGACUAAUCGAACCAUCUAGUAGCUGUUCCCUUUCCGAAA
This 724-nucleotide ribosomal RNA is filed under the name Meloidogyne arenaria. Its description in RNAcentral is "partial 28S ribosomal RNA". It matches the Rfam family "Eukaryotic large subunit ribosomal RNA", at positions 382 to 966 of the family's 3401-position model. Lineage: Eukaryota; Metazoa; Nematoda; Chromadorea; Rhabditida; Meloidogynidae. The record is from RNAcentral.